GAUGAACGCUGGCGGCGUGCCUAAUACAUGCAAGUCGAGCGAACAGACGAGGAGCUUGCUCCUCUGACGUUAGCGGCGGACGGGUGAGUAACACGUGGAUAACCUACCUAUAAGACUGGGAUAACUUCGGGAAACCGGAGCUAAUACCGGAUAAUAUAUUGAACCGCAUGGUUCAAUAGUGAAAGACGGUUUCGCUGUCACUUAUAGAUGGAUCCGCGCCGCAUUAGCUAGUUGGUAAGGUAACGUCUUACCAAGGCAACGAUGCGUAGCCGACCUGAGAGGGUGAUCGGCCACACUGGAACUGAGACACGGUCCAGACUCCUACGGGAGGCAGCAGUAGGGAAUCUUCCGCAAUGGGCGAAAGCCUGACGGAGCAACGCCGCGUGAGUGAUGAAGGUCUUCGGAUCGUAAAACUCUGUUAUUAGGGAAGAACAAAUGUGUAAGUAACUAUGCACGUCUUGACGGUACCUAAUCAGAAAGCCACGGCUAACUACGUG
RNAcentral lists this ribosomal RNA (497 nucleotides) under uncultured bacterium. RNAcentral's name for it is "partial 16S ribosomal RNA". It matches the Rfam family "Bacterial small subunit ribosomal RNA", at positions 28 to 507 of the family's 1533-position model. The record is from RNAcentral.